This 704-nucleotide long non-coding RNA is filed under the name Scleropages formosus (Asian bonytongue). Its description in RNAcentral is "lncRNA (ENSSFOG00015029637.1)". Lineage: Eukaryota; Metazoa; Chordata; Actinopteri; Osteoglossiformes; Osteoglossidae. The record is from RNAcentral.
UAGAAAGUGCACCGCAUGCUUUAUGGGGCACGGAGGUCCAAAGAGAAACGGAAUCAGAGCCUGCUGGAGGCCCUCCCUCCCUCCCUCCCUCGGCGGUACACUGGGUGCCGUGCAGACUCCUGGACAGAUUAAGGUGAAAAGUGGAGGACAGGAAGAGGCAAACCAGAGCCAGACUGUCAGGCGACCCAUAUGGGUUCAUCACAACGACUCGGAUUGCAGGAGGGAUGGAGAACGUGGAGGAACAUCUGUGGCUGCUGCUGCUGCUGCUGCGUUUUCUAGGAAUGGGUACUCUUGAGCACCAAGGUUGUCUGACCAAAGUGGAGGGGUAAGAGGUGCAGGGAUGUGGGAGGAUGUUCAUUACAAGAAAUGAUGAAGAGAAGUGCACUUAAUUUUUGUGAGGAUCCUCUAUUUGCAUACUUACACUUACUUAUUUAGUUCAAUGUAAGGCUAUUUACAGCUCUUUACCCACUUAUAUAGUGGGGUAAUUUUUAUAAGAGUGACUCAGGAUAAGUACCUUGCUCAAAAUUAUUAUAGCAUCAGGUGGGAUUCAAACCAGCAACUGUCUGCUCAAAGGGCAGCACUUGUAACCACUAUGAUAUCAGGAUUUCAGCAAGAUGUCACACUGCCUUGUAUACCUGUUUUGGGAGCUGCUGCUUUUGUUUGAGAGGAAUCAAUAAAAUGACUAUUUACUGUGGUUAUGGGCA